CAAUAACUGUACCAGCCAGAGUGUACUGGCUUGUCCAAAAAAUACUGUGGCAACCUAUUUUCAUGGACAAUCCAGAGUCAACAGGUGUAUAUAGAAACAAGUAACUAGAGACCCAUGUUUUGAUUGGUGGUCAAAACAUUGGUGGUCAGAUUUCAAAGACAAAUUGAAAUUGUGUCAUUCCAGAAAAGAUCCAUACUCCCCCCACGCAGGAAAUUUCUGCCGUCCGGAGGGGGAGGGGAGAAAAAAUUGUUUCUGAUUCAGAUAAUAGUAUAUGUAUUAGGACAUCCGAAGGGGGUAGGGAGGUUAACUUCCUAUUUCCUCUGUGGGUGUGGUAUGGAUGUUUUCUGGAAUGACCCAUUGACAGUAGGAUGUAAUUUUGUUGUUGGGAUGGGUUGGUGCUUUAGGGUUUAGGUUCAAUUCCUGCAGAAGGGUUACACAAAGUCACAGCAAUUUCAAAAUUAAUUACAUGGCUUCACAAAAUAAAUUCCAUUCAGUCACGAAAUAGGUAGAUGC
Non-coding RNA from Paramuricea clavata, 513 nucleotides. The record is from the annotation of a GenBank genome assembly. NCBI's taxonomy places the organism in Eukaryota, Metazoa, Cnidaria, Anthozoa, Malacalcyonacea, Plexauridae.